This is a long non-coding RNA of Bos taurus (domestic cattle), 1249 nucleotides long. NCBI's taxonomy places the organism in Eukaryota, Metazoa, Chordata, Mammalia, Artiodactyla, Bovidae. The record is from Ensembl.
AUAUUGGACUCAUGAAGCAAAAACUGUUGUCUCUUUUUGGAAUCUCUUAAAGAGUUUAUGUUUGGUUGAUACUUUUUUCUUCUUUAAAUAUUUGGAAGAAUUUCCCAGUCAGGUUGUCUUCUUAAUGGAGUUUUCUUUACAAGAAGAAUUCAGUUUCUUCUAAUAAAUAAAAAGCCUUGAGAUGGUUCAAUUACUUCUUAUGUCAUUUGUGAUAUAUAUACACAAGAGUAAUAACAUGUGAUGUGAGAUUCUAAUAAAAACUCAAGAGGACUUCAAAUACCUGCAUAAACAAUACAGAUGGAGUACAGGAAAGAGCUCAGGAUUUUAUCUGUGUGUCCUUAGGUAGUCUACCAGAGAGACCUUCUAACACAAAAGCAAGCCAUCCCACUGAAAGACUAGACUAUCCAACCUUCCAGCUGACAGGGAAACUGCCCUAGAGCAUCCAUCCCCAGGACAGCUGCCAAAAGAGAUGAACAAAGCUGGCUCAGAAGAAGAGAGUCACCGGCUGACCCAGAAAACUGUGAGUUAGCAAAGAGCAUCCAUGUGAGCAUCGGAGGGACCACACAUUCUUCACGCCUGCCCAGUUUCAAAGCCUCAUGCUUCCAUGAGAAUCAUCAUUCACUAGUGAAAUUUAGCUUCUUGCUGUCUGACUUGCCUAUUUUGAGUUGAAUACCAUUCGCAAGAGGAACUGAUGAACUCAUUCAAGUAAUAACGUUCAUUUACUUACUGCUUAUUUCUGGAAGCACCAAGCACUGUUCUAGGUGCAGGGGACACAGCAAUAAAUAGUCACUGCCACAGGGGAGCUUUUAUCACAGUGAUGCACGGUCCCUUCCAGCUGCAGAGCAGAGAUAGCACCUCUUCCUUAAUAUCACAUUCACCAGCGGCCCACAACCGUUUUGGCAUUAGGGACCAGUUUUGUGGGAGACACUUUUUCCACAGACGGCAUGGGGGGAUGGUUUUUGGGAUGUUUCAAGUACAUUACAUUUAUCAUGCCGCUGCUGAUCUGACACCGAGCAGGGAUCAGGGAGGAAUGCAAGUGAUGGGGAGUGGCUGUAAAUACAGAUGAAGCUUCGCCCUCUCACCCACCACUCACCUCCUGCUGUGUCCCAGUUCCUAACAGGCCACGAACCUCUACCAGGGGUUGGGGGCUCCUGACUUAGACCACUCUUUUACACUUAAUAAGUGCUUAAUAUAUGCUGUAAGACAGAUCAAAAUUAUUGAGAAUCUCAUUUUAUGCUGAAGUCUUAUU